CGGAUUGGAGUCUGNAACCCGACUCCCAUGAAGCUGGAUUCGCUAGUAAUCGCGCAUCAGCCACGGCGCGGUGAAUACGUUCCCGGGCCUUGUACACACCGCCCGUCAAGCCAUGGGAGUUUGUAACGCCCAAAGUCGGUGGCCUAACCUUUAUGGAGGGAGCCGCCUAAGGCGGGACAGAUGACUGGGGUGAAGUCGUAACAAGGUAAC
This 210-nucleotide ribosomal RNA is filed under the name uncultured bacterium. Its description in RNAcentral is "partial 16S ribosomal RNA". It matches the Rfam family "Bacterial small subunit ribosomal RNA", at positions 1294 to 1500 of the family's 1533-position model. The record is from RNAcentral.